RNAcentral lists this ribosomal RNA (493 nucleotides) under Alcaligenes sp. JS2316. Its description in RNAcentral is "bacterial SSU rRNA". It matches the Rfam family "Bacterial small subunit ribosomal RNA", at positions 384 to 871 of the family's 1533-position model. The record is from RNAcentral. Lineage: Bacteria; Pseudomonadati; Pseudomonadota; Betaproteobacteria; Burkholderiales; Alcaligenaceae.
UGAUCCAGCCAUCCCGCGUGUGCGAUGAAGGCCUUCGGGUUGUAAAGCACUUUUGGCAGGAAAGAAACGUCGCGGGUUAAUACCCCGCGGAACUGACGGUACCUGCAGAAUAAGCACCGGCUAACUACGUGCCAGCAGCCGCGGUAAUACGUAGGGUGCAAGCGUUAAUCGGAAUUACUGGGCGUAAAGCGUGCGCAGGCGGUUCGGAAAGAAAGAUGUGAAAUCCCAGAGCUUAACUUUGGAACUGCAUUUUUAACUACCGGGCUAGAGUGUGUCAGAGGGAGGUGGAAUUCCGCGUGUAGCAGUGAAAUGCGUAGAUAUGCGGAGGAACACCGAUGGCGAAGGCAGCCUCCUGGGAUAACACUGACGCUCAUGCACGAAAGCGUGGGGAGCAAACAGGAUUAGAUACCCUGGUAGUCCACGCCCUAAACGAUGUCAAAUGGCUGUUGGGGCCUUCGGGCCUUGGUAGCGCAGCUAACGCGUGAAGUGACCG